This is a non-coding RNA of Biomphalaria pfeifferi, 285 nucleotides long. The record is from the annotation of a GenBank genome assembly. Lineage: Eukaryota; Metazoa; Mollusca; Gastropoda; Planorbidae.
UUGUGUGACAUUGUCUGCCAUUGUGUGACAUUGUCUGCCAUUGUGUGACAUUGUCUGCCAUUGUUCUGUUUAUUAAUUUUGCUUUUAUUUCGCAAAAUGUUGGACGUGCUAUUAAAUGAACAAAAGAGCUUCUAGUCUUGUAGACUUUGUACAGCUGAUUGUGAGUUAAAGAUGUACAUGCUUUUGUUAUAUGUAUUAUAUGUGUAAAACAAAUUCCAUUUUAUUUAUUUAUUUAUUGUUGUUUGAAUUGGCACAAAAAAAAAUAAAGAUUUUCUUUAAAUUCAG